GCAAGUCGAACGAGAAAACCACUUCGGUGGCAAGUAAAGUGGCGCACGGGUGAGUAACGCGUAGAUAAUCUACCCUUUAGCCUGGGACAACAUUUCGAAAGGAGUGCUAAUACCGGAUAAUACAUUUUGUCGAGUGUCAAAAUGUUGAAAGAUUUAUCACUAGGGGAUGAGUCUGCGUACCAUUAGCUUGUUGGUAGGGUAACGGCCUACCAAGGCAACGAUGGUUAGCGGGUCUGAGAGGAUGAUC
This 247-nucleotide ribosomal RNA is filed under the name uncultured bacterium. RNAcentral's name for it is "partial 16S ribosomal RNA". It matches the Rfam family "Bacterial small subunit ribosomal RNA", at positions 57 to 305 of the family's 1533-position model. The record is from RNAcentral.